Molecule: ribosomal RNA, 481 nt
Filed under: uncultured bacterium
Lineage: Bacteria
Description: partial 16S ribosomal RNA
Rfam family: Bacterial small subunit ribosomal RNA
Source: RNAcentral
UUGCACGCUGGCGGCAUGCCUUACACAUGCAAGUCGAACGGUAACAGGUCUUCGGAUGCUGACGAGUGGCGAACGGGUGAGUAAUACAUCGGAACGUGCCCAGACGUGGGGGAUAACGAGGCGAAAGCUUUGCUAAUACCGCAUACGAUCUAAGGAUGAAAGCAGGGGACCGCAAGGCCUUGCGCGUUUGGAGCGGCCGAUGGCAGAUUAGGUAGUUGGUGGGAUAAAAGCUUACCAAGCCGACGAUCUGUAGCUGGUCUGAGAGGACGACCAGCCACACUGGGACUGAGACACGGCCCAGACUCCUACGGGAGGCAGCAGUGGGGAAUUUUGGACAAUGGGCGAAAGCCUGAUCCAGCAAUGCCGCGUGCAGGAUGAAGGCCUUCGGGUUGUAAACUGCUUUUGUACGGAACGAAAAGGCUCUGGCUAAUACCUGGGGCACAUGACGGUACCGUAAGAAUAAGCACCGGCUAACUACGUG